GAUGAACGCUGGCGGCGUGCCUAAUACAUGCCAGUCGAGCGAACAGACGAGGAGCUUGCUCCUCUGACGUUAGCGGCGGACGGGUGAGUAACACGUGGAUAACCUACCUAUAAGACUGGGAUAACUUCGGGAAACCGGAGCUAAUACCGGAUAAUAUAUUGAACCGCAUGGUUCAAUAGUGAAAGACGGUUUUGCUGUCACUUAUAGAUGGAUCCGCGCCGCAUUAGCUAGUUGGUAAGGUAACGGCUUACCAAGGCAACGAUGCGUAGCCGACCUAAGAGGGUGAUCGGCCACACUGGAACUGAGACACGGUCCAGACUCCUACGGGAGGCAGCAGUAGGGAAUCUUCCGCAAUGGGCGAAAGCCUGACGGAGCAACGCCGCGUGAGUGAUGAAGGUCUUCGGAUCGUAAAACUCUGUUAUUAGGGAAGAACAAAUGUGUAAGUAACUAUGCACGUCUUGACGGUACCUAAUCAGAAAGCCACGGCUAACUACGUG
This 497-nucleotide ribosomal RNA is filed under the name uncultured bacterium. RNAcentral describes it as "partial 16S ribosomal RNA". It matches the Rfam family "Bacterial small subunit ribosomal RNA", at positions 28 to 507 of the family's 1533-position model. The record is from RNAcentral.